AGUGCGGACCGGGUGAGUAACAACUGACUAACUUGCCCCUCGAGUGGGGAAUAACCUCGGGAAACCGGGGGCUAAUACCGCAUAACAUCUUCGGGAUGAGAAGCCGAAGAUCAAAGGAGCAAUUCGCUUGAGGAGAGGCUCGCGCCUGAUUAGCUAGUUGGUGGGGUAACGGCCCACCAAGCCGGUGAUCGGUAGCCGGCCUGAAAGGGCGCACGGGCACACUGGAACUGAAACACGGUCCAGACUCCUACGGGAGGCAGCAGUGGGGAAUUUUGCGCAAUGGGGGAAACCCUGACGCAGCAACGCCGCGUGGAGGAUGAAGCCCUUUGGGGCGUAAACUCCUUUCGACCGGGACGAUAAUGACGGUACGCGGUGGAAGAAGCACCGGCUAACUCUGUG
RNAcentral lists this ribosomal RNA (399 nucleotides) under uncultured bacterium. RNAcentral's name for it is "bacterial SSU rRNA". It matches the Rfam family "Bacterial small subunit ribosomal RNA", at positions 94 to 507 of the family's 1533-position model. The record is from RNAcentral.